This 30-nucleotide non-coding RNA is filed under the name Homo sapiens (human). Lineage: Eukaryota; Metazoa; Chordata; Mammalia; Primates; Hominidae. The record is from RNAcentral.
UAACUGGCGUCAGGUGCUAAAUGAGCUGUU